Molecule: non-coding RNA, 164 nt
Organism: Pseudonaja textilis
Lineage: Eukaryota; Metazoa; Chordata; Lepidosauria; Squamata; Elapidae
Source: RefSeq, a predicted model, not a curated record
CAAGAAUCAAGAAUCAUAAAGUACAACACUUAAUAAUAGUCAUAGGGCACAAUCAGUAAUCAAAUCAUACUAGGAAACAGUCAAUAAAAGUUGUUAGGAUUCAAGCAACAAGGUUACCGUCUUACAGUCAUAAGUAGGAGGAGAUGGGUGAAAGGAAAGAUGAG